This is a long non-coding RNA of Hippocampus zosterae (dwarf seahorse), 264 nucleotides long. RefSeq lists it as uncharacterized. The transcript has 2 exons. Lineage: Eukaryota; Metazoa; Chordata; Actinopteri; Syngnathiformes; Syngnathidae. The record is from RefSeq and is a predicted model, not a curated record.
CGAGUAGUCUGUUUCAAUGUCACGGAACAUGCACUAUAAUCAAAAUUGUUUCUAUUACAUUAUGUAAUCCGUCGCUGAUAGUGUCGUGGUACAUUCGCCUGAGUUGUGUGCGGGCAGCGUGGGAAUCGGUUCCGACUCAGUGACGAGUCAAACACAAGGUUGACCCUGUGACCAAUGAUGCUGUUGGAGACCAUCUGUCUCCUACCCGGCUCAACUGGCCUCACGCUGUGCUGACAUAUUAUAUACUACUGAGUUUGGAUAUGU